This 503-nucleotide ribosomal RNA is filed under the name uncultured bacterium. Its description in RNAcentral is "bacterial SSU rRNA". It matches the Rfam family "Bacterial small subunit ribosomal RNA", at positions 28 to 524 of the family's 1533-position model. The record is from RNAcentral.
GACGAACGCUGGCGGCGUGGAUUAGGCAUGCAAGUCGAACGGUAUCAUCCUUUCGGGGGUGAGAGAGUGGCGAACUGGUGAGUAACACGUAGGUUAUCUACCCUCAAGACGGGGACAACCCAGGGAAACUUGGGCUAAUACCGGAUGUGAGCAACUUUUAGUUGUUUGAAAGGUGGCGUAAGCUGUCGCUUGGGGAUGAGCCUGCGUCCUAUUAGUUAGUUGGUGAGGUAACGGCUCACCUAGGCAAUGAUAGGUAGGCGGCCUUAACGGGUGGUCGCCCACACUGGGAUUGAGAUACGGCCCAGACUCCUACGGGAGGCAGCAGUCGAGAAUAGUCUACAAUGGUCGGAAGACUGAUAGUGCGACGCCGCGUGAACGAUGAAUCCCUUCGGAUGUAAAGUUCUUUUAUAUGUGAGCAGUGCUUCUUAUAUUAACAGUAUGGGGAGAGAGAUAUUAGCAUAUGAAUAAGCAACGGCUAACUCCGUGCCAGCAGCCGCGGUAAA